GACGAACGCUGGCGGCGUGCUUAACACAUGCAAGUCGAACGGAAAGGCCCUGCUCUUGUGGGGUGCUCGAGUGGCGAACGGGUGAGUAACACGUGAGUAACCUGCCCUUGUCUUUGGGAUAACUUCAGGAAACUGGGGCUAAUACCGGAUAGGAGCUCCUGCUGCAUGGUGGGGGUUGGAAAGUUUCGGCGGUUGGGGAUGGACUCGCGGCUUAUCAGCUUGUUGGUGGGGUAGUGGCUUACCAAGGCUUUGACGGGUAGCCGGCCUGAGAGGGUGACCGGCCACAUUAGGACUGAGGUACGGCGCAGAAUGCUACGUGAGGCAGCGGUGGAGAAUAUUACGCAAUGGGCGGGAGCCUGAUACGGCGACGCCGCGUGCGGGAUGACGGCCUACGGGUUGUGAACCGAUUUCGCCUGUGCCGAGGCGGGAGUGACGGUAAUGGGUAAAAAAGCACCGGCUAACUACGUG
This 468-nucleotide ribosomal RNA is filed under the name uncultured bacterium. Its description in RNAcentral is "partial 16S ribosomal RNA". It matches the Rfam family "Bacterial small subunit ribosomal RNA", at positions 28 to 507 of the family's 1533-position model. The record is from RNAcentral.